ACGAACGCUGGCGGCGUGCCUAAUACCUGCAAGUCGCGCGGACGGAUGGGAGCUUGCUCCCAGACCGUCAGCGGCGGACGGGUGAGUAACACGUGGGCAACCUGCCUGUAAGACUGGGAUAACUCCGGGAAACCGGGGCUAAUACCGGAUAACUCUUUCCCUCACAUGAGGGAAAGCUGAAAGAUGGCAUCUCGCUAUCACUUACAGAUGGGCCCGCGGCGCAUUAGCUAGUUGGUGAGGUAACGGCUCACCAAGGCGACGAUGCGUAGCCGACCUGAGAGGGUGAUCGGCCACACUGGGACUGAGACACGGCCCAGACUCCUACGGGAGGCAGCAGUAGGGAAUCUUCCGCAAUGGACGAAAGUCUGACGGAGCAACGCCGCGUGAGUGAUGAAGGUUUUCGGAUCGUAAAACUCUGUUGUCAGGGAAGAACAAGUACCGGAGUAACUGCCGGUACCUUGACGGUACCUGACCAGAAAGCCACGGCUAACUACGUG
Molecule: ribosomal RNA, 497 nt
Filed under: uncultured bacterium
Lineage: Bacteria
Description: partial 16S ribosomal RNA
Rfam family: Bacterial small subunit ribosomal RNA
Source: RNAcentral